AGAGAGAGACAUGCGUGCAUAUCAAUAAGCGGAGGAAAAGAAACUAACAAGGAUUCCCCUAGUAACGGCGAGUGAAGCGGGAAGAGCUCAAAUUUGAAAUCUUAAAGGGUUUCCCUUUACGAAUUGUAGUUUAAAGAAGUGUUUUCUGUUGAGGUUUUGGUAAAAGUUCUUUGGAAUAGGACAUCAUAGAGGGUGAGAAUCCCGUAUUUGACCUUUACUCUUCAACUUUGUGAUACACUUUCAAAGAGUCGGAUUGUUUGGGAAUGCAGUCCAAAAUGGGUGGUAAAUUUCAUCUAAAGCUAAAUAUUGGCGAGAGACCGAUAGCGAACAAGUACCGUGAGGGAAAGAUGAAAAGAACUUUGAAAAGAGAGUUAAACAGUACGUGAAAUUGUCAAAAGGGAAGCGUUUGACACCAUGUGUUGUUUUUCUGAAAAUCAAUUAAAGAACUGUUUAUGCUAAGUUGUUUAGACUUUAUCAGCUAACUGUUUAGUUUUGAGCUUUUCUUUAAUGCACUUUUCAGUUAACAAGUCAACAUCAAUUUCUUUUGCUGUAAAAAAGCUUGAGGAAGGUGGCUUGAGAUUCGUCUUAAGUGUUUAUAGCCUCUUGCCUAUGCAGUCGGAGAGAUUGAGGUCUGCAGCGUAGAUCCUUCGGGGCUAAAUGCAUUUGUGCUAAGUUAUAGCAUUUUAUAGACAACUUGUUGACUAUGAUUUGUCUUGUAGCUUACUCGCUUAUGUUAUUUUACCUACGCUUAGGAUGUUGAGCGCAUGUCUCUCUCU
RNAcentral lists this ribosomal RNA (776 nucleotides) under uncultured Neocallimastigales. RNAcentral's name for it is "partial large subunit ribosomal RNA". It matches the Rfam family "Eukaryotic large subunit ribosomal RNA", at positions 23 to 637 of the family's 3401-position model. Lineage: Eukaryota; Fungi; Neocallimastigomycota; Neocallimastigomycetes; Neocallimastigales. The record is from RNAcentral.